Molecule: long non-coding RNA, 3557 nt
Organism: Drosophila simulans
Lineage: Eukaryota; Metazoa; Arthropoda; Insecta; Diptera; Drosophilidae
Exons: 2
Source: RefSeq, a predicted model, not a curated record
GGCCAGAUUUAUGUCUACGAUUUUUUUUACUCAUACCAAUAUUUGGUAUGAUCGACCAUACCGAUAAGAUAUCGACAUGUAGCUACCGAUAAGAAUAUCACUGGCUCUGACAGCUGUCAGGUAUGACUGCCGUGCCAUCGAUGAUUUAGAAGAGUUUCUGGAAGUUUCAUUUUUCGCCAACUGUCAGCGAAAAAAAAAGUGUGUAAAAAGUGGCAUACGUGUGAAAUAUUGAAUCACGUGUUAACAUAAUUUUUUAUUUAUUAAAGAAAAAGUGGCAUCCAACGUGAAGGACCUUAGUGAGCACAGUAAUAAGUCAUUAAGACUCAUAGAUAAAUUCAAAUUUUUCUUUUCUUUCAAAAUUGCAACUUUAAUUUAUUUUAACAAAUUUCAUUUGUUCAAUUUUAAUUGUUAGGGAAAACAAUGCUUGAGAACUUUAGUUUUCUUCUUGUCCAAAAUUAAUUUCAAAAAUGAAGAUUUUCCUAAAUUGAGGAAUGAUGAGGUGAAAUUAAGUAAGCGUCCAACUUCGGUUGAUCAUCUGUCCCUGUCGAAUUUCCCAAAUCUUUGCUCAAAGUUCACUUUGGAAAUUUGUUUGUUAGUUUCAAACGCUUUGGAAUAUAGAGAUGCAAACUUUAACUCCCCCAGUUCACUAAUAUAAGGAUUUAAUUUCAAUUCUUCUUAAAAGGUUUAGAAAAAGUAUGGCAAAAGUAAACUUGGAAUAAAACACGUUUUUGUUUUAGAACGAAACUUUGUCCAUUACAAAUUUUAAACUUCUAAAUUCUUGUCCUUUGUGACUAUUUUUGUCGAAAGAUAAGAAACAAUUAAAUCUGUUUCUUUAUUUUACCCUUCCCUUACGAGAAAAAUCAGUAUUAUAUACGAUAUCCUUCGACACAUUUCAGUCCCCUGUAGGCAUGUUAGCGAAUUAAACGUAAAUCCAACGAAUUUUAUUGGCGAUACCACAAAUCAGUGUGUGAAGUACGUUGGGAUAGACAUGUUCCGCAUUGCUUUGUCAUUUUCGCCAAUUAAGGGACGACCUAGACUUUGAGUGGUUGUUUCGAAGUAGGAAACAAAACCCUAAUGAGACACUCGACGGUUUUCAUGGCAGUGUAAAUGUCUUAAUCGAUCAGCUGCAUAAGAUGGUCCACCCGAAAACUAGCUCGUGUUCUCAAGACUAAUUUAAGACCUGUAAUAAAGCAUAAACUACUGCGGAAAAUGUACCCGAAAUAAGAGAAAUUUGUGCCAACGCGAAGCUUUUUUAGACGAUGUCAAACACUCACACGGUUACGCUAAAAUGAUCCCUUACAGACGAGGAGUCUCGGAGUUAAUUCCAAGAGCAGAUUCACAAGUCGGAUUCGAAUCAAAAGCGAAUUAGAAGUUGACACAUUUUGCUUGUCGAUAGGAUACAAAAAGUACCCGAAAAAAGAACCUUCGAGUGGAAAAUGUGCGACAACAGAGGAUUCUACUUGGAGCCAUCGAAAGGAACUUGUCCGUCCAAGUAACACGAUCUUUGGGACAUCUGAACAUCGAAGAUUGGCCAACCCUCAAAUCCAGACUAAUCUCAGAACAUAAACACCAAACAUCGAACUACAAACUACUGGAGAACUUCAGGCAGACACCAUACAGAGGAAACCUAAGAGCAUUCUGCGAAGAAGCGGAAAGACGACGUCAAUUAUUAAUUUCGAAACUACACUUGGAAGGUAACCAAUCGGAUUUUGUUAUUUAUAUUCAGGCUAUUAAAGACUCUAUUAAGAUACUGAUAAGGAAACUACCUUAAGAUCCUUAAUUACCAUUGCACAAAAUAAGGGAAUUAAUGAAGAACACAUUAAUUUUGAAUUUUAUAAAAACCCAGAAUACCGUAAUAAAAACUCGAAUUCUAAUCAGAAUUCGUAAGCACAUAAAUUCAAUACAAAUGUUCAAACUCAAUAUUGCCCAAGUUACAGACAAUAUUUCCAACCCAUCCAACCUAAUUUUAAUCAAUACAUGCAACCAUUUAGACCUAGCUAUACCCAUCAGAUAACUAACAACCCACCAAUGUGACACGCACAUAAUUUUUUCAAAUCCAACCAAUACAUAAACUUACAACCCAUUAUUCAAAACAAUCCUUUCCCACAACAUACCAACACAGCCCAAAAUCCCCAAACAAUACAUUUUAGAAGGAAUACAUACCCUCAACUAGAACAACCAUCUACAUCUUAGAAUACAAGCUUGCCGAUAACUAAACGACUAAGACCAUCAGACAGUGAACAAACUAAAAUGUCUAUCGACGAAAUAUAAUAGCCAUUUUAUUUCCCAAUUUUUCGAAUUCUUUACAAAGUGAACCGAGCUUGUCCAAUUGUGAGGUUAUUUCCUCUAAUGUAUAUCCAUCACGUGGAUUCUGUGACGAAAUCAUACUUCAAUCACAUGAAAAACUUUUAAACCCUGGUAUACAGAAAAUUACAAAAUUAUUUAAAGAAAACCACUUCUUUCCAAAUAAAUGCAACAUAGGCAAUUUGGCUAAAACAGAACAUAUAAACACCAAAAUGCCUUUAAAAAUAACACCUAAACCGGAACAUUGCCGAGAAAAAAUUGUAGUUAAUAUUUAUUCAACUGAGGGAAAACAUUACAUCAGUUGCAUUGAUAUUUAUUCUAAAUUCGCUACACUUGAGCAAAUUAAAACUAAGGAUUGGAUAGAAUGCAGAGACGCAUUAAUGCGCAUUUUUAAUCAAUUAGGUAAACCAAUUACUAACAAAUUACUAAAGGCAGACAGAGGCGGAGCUUUCUCCAGUUUAGCUUGGCUUGAAGAAGAAGAAAUCAAAUUAUAGCUUAAUACAGCAAAAAACGGGGUAGCAGACGUCAAAAGAUUACACAAAACCAUAAAUGAAAAAAUUCGUACAAUCAAUUCAUCUGAUGAUGAAGAAGUCAAAUUAAGGAAGAUAGAAACAAUCCUCUACACAUACAACCAAAAAAUUAAACAUGACACUACUGGACCUGCUCAAAUUUUCUUAUACGCUGGGCAUCCAAUAUUAUACACUCAAAAAAUUAAAGAGAAGAAAAUAUAAUAAUAAUAAUUAAUUUCUUAAAAAUCUAUUUAACUUAAAUAGACAUCGUGGUUGACUAUUUUGAGCAAAGACUACGAACCGAUUGCAAUAGAAAUGCAGCUUUCCAGACUCGGACUGUUUAAACCAAAUUUACUAAACUAUGACAAACUUGAAAGUGUAAGUGUAAAAUAUUUUAAACAUUACAAAAUCCACUUGGAUUAACUAUAAUGAUAACCAAUUAUUAAUCAUAUCCCUCAUACCCAUUCAAUUUUCGCUAAUAAACACAAUUAAAAUAAUCCCUUACCCAGACUCCAAUGGCUAUCAGAUAGAUUACACAGACACACAAUGAAAAAGAAACUAAAUUUUAUAAUGCCGAAAAUGAAGAAAUAAAAAAUGAAUGUGUCACCAAUAUUAUUAAACACUUUAAACCAAUUUCUAAUUUUAAGCGAGUACACACGAACGAGAAAUAAUAAAAUACAUAAAACCAAACACAAUUGUAACCUGGAACUUAACCCAAACAAUUCUUAACCAAAAUUGCCAAAA